UACGUAGGGAGCAAGCGUUGUCCGGAAUCAUUGGGCGUAAAGCGCGCGUAGGUGGCUUCGUAAGUCCGUUGUGAAAGUCAAAGGCUCAACCUUUGAAAGCCGAUGGAUACUGCGGAGCUAGAGUACGGAAGAGGCGAGUGGAAUUCCUGGUGUAGCGGUGGAAUGCGCAGAUAUCAGGAGGAACACCAAUAGCGAAGGCAGCUCGCUGGGACGUUACUGACACUGAGACGCGAAAGCGUGGGGAGCGAACAGG
This 253-nucleotide ribosomal RNA is filed under the name uncultured bacterium. Its description in RNAcentral is "partial 16S ribosomal RNA". It matches the Rfam family "Bacterial small subunit ribosomal RNA", at positions 524 to 776 of the family's 1533-position model. The record is from RNAcentral.